This 747-nucleotide ribosomal RNA is filed under the name Bdellovibrio bacteriovorus. Its description in RNAcentral is "bacterial SSU rRNA". It matches the Rfam family "Bacterial small subunit ribosomal RNA", at positions 85 to 849 of the family's 1533-position model. Lineage: Bacteria; Pseudomonadati; Bdellovibrionota; Bdellovibrionia; Bdellovibrionales; Pseudobdellovibrionaceae. The record is from RNAcentral.
GAUUAAGGGAGUGGCGCACGGGUGAGGAACGCGUGGAUAAUCUGCCUUAGAGUGGGGGAUAACUAGUCGAAAGAUUAGCUAAUACCGCAUAAGACCACAGGAGCUGCGGCUCUAGGGGUCAAAGGUUUUUCGCUCUAAGAUGAGUCCGCGUAAGAUUAGCUAGUUGGUGAGGUAACGGCUCACCAAGGCGACGAUCUUUAACUGGUCUGAGAGGAUGAUCAGUCACACUGGAACUGAGACACGGUCCAGACUCCUACGGGAGGCAGCAGUAGGGAAUAUUGCACAAUGGAGGAAACUCUGAUGCAGCGACGCCGCGUGAGUGAUGAAGGCCUUCGGGUCGUAAAGCUCUGUCGCAGGGGAAUAACACAAUGAAUGUACCCUGUAAGAAAGGAUCGGCUAACUUCGUGCCAGCAGCCGCGGUAAGACGAGGGAUCCUAGCGUUGUUCGGAAUUAUUGGGCGUAAAGCGGAUGUAGGUGGCUUUGUAAGUCAGAUGUGAAAGCCCAGGGCUCAACCCUGGAAGUGCAUUUGAUACUGCGAAGCUUGAGUGUCGGAGAGGUUACUAGAAUUGUUGGUGUAGUGGUGAAAUACGUAGAUAUCAACAGGAAUACCGGAGGCGAAGGCGGGUAACUGGCCGAACACUGACACUGAGAUCCGAAAGCGUGGGGAUCAAACAGGAUUAGAUACCCUGGUAGUCCACGCCGUAAACGAUGGAUACUUGUUGUUGGAGGUAUUGACCUCGGUGCUGU